AACGAACGCUGGCGGCAGGCCUAACACAUGCAAGUCGAACGCCGUAGCAAUACGGAGUGGCAGACGGGUGAGUAACACGUGGGAACGUACCCUUCGGUUCGGGAUAACUCAGGGAAACUUGAGCUAAUACCGGAUACGUCCGAGAGGAGAAAGAUUUAUUGCCGAGGGAUCGGCCCGCGUCUGAUUAGCUUGUUGGUGAGGUAACGGCUCACCAAGGCGACGAUCAGUAGCUGGUCNGAGAGGAUGAUCAGCCACAUUGGGACUGAGACACGGCCCAAACUCCUACGGGAGGCAGCAGUGGGGAAUAUUGGACAAUGGGCGCAAGCCUGAUCCAGCCAUGCCGCGU
RNAcentral lists this ribosomal RNA (346 nucleotides) under uncultured bacterium. RNAcentral's name for it is "bacterial SSU rRNA". It matches the Rfam family "Bacterial small subunit ribosomal RNA", at positions 29 to 402 of the family's 1533-position model. The record is from RNAcentral.